AAUAAAAAUGUGUACAUCAGAACAAACGUAUGAUUCAAUUAAAACUUCAUAAUCCAGUUCAUCUACCAAUCUUUAUUGAAUUCUUUGUUAUCACUCUUCACUAUUGUCUAAACUAAUCUAAACGAAAUUCAUGCUGUUAAUUAAAUUAGAGUAGAAGCAUUGCCAUUUAUCAUUCAAACAGGCUCAGUCAACGAUGGUUGUCCCAUUUUGCAAUUGAUAGAUCCUUCGAUCAAGAUUAUAAAACCCUUCUACGAGCAUUAAAACAAUCAUCUGCAUUGAAGUCCAUAGCAUUCUUUCAUAAUGAGAUUCUUAAUAUAUUCAUGUAUAUAGAUACAAUUGAUAUAAUAUACUAUUACAAAUAAUAAUAGGCGGUGAUCGGCACCGUUGUAACUGCAGAUGAGACUCGAGAACAUACGUAACAAAAGGCAUAGAUUUGCUUUUCAAAAUCCCCUUUCAUGCUCUAAACAUUCAUGAUUCUUUUCCCCUGGUGCACCUUGAUGUAGUUACCACACAGACAGACCACCUGUCCAUUGAAUGUACGACUUAGCCCUAGCCCUAUCCUAGCUGCUACCUGAACAUGUGCUAAAUCUUCCAAUACUCAUAAUUUCAUAGUUGUUUAAUAAGGUGACGAAAGUGUAAAACAUUGCCAGGUAAACCUUUAUUACUAGUUUCAAAAGAAAGACGAGUUGUGAAUUCUUGGUUCUAAAUAUAUGCGCAAACGCGGCAGCGGCAUCUGCGCACCGCCUCCACAAGACCGCAGGACUGCGCAACAACACGCGGUACGCCAUGUUGCUAUCUGCUAACCUCUAUCGUUACCAUUCAAAGAGUUCGCGUUCGUUUCCAAUUAAUAUUUCAACAGGAAAAUAUAUUUUGGGGGUGGACCCUCAGGUUCCCGCAGCGUUUGGAGCCGACUCGAAAAACACCCGAACAUGAAAAUAAGUUUUGUCGCCCGGCGGUCUCGGUUUGCUGUGUUACCAGCCUGUCUCACAAAUACGUAGACGUUACACGUAGAGUUCGCAUAACAUGGCACGAACGCACUAGCACCGUCAUUCUGUAUUGAUUUUGCACGUUUAACAUCUGGGAAACACCUCCAAUAUCACCCAGGAGUACUGGGAGAGGUCUGUUCCCAGCCAUGUGUGGUUCAAGGUUAGCAGUCAAGGUCCAAUAUAAUGAAGUCAGGGCCAGAGGUCCAUGCCCACCCACGUGGCAGCAGGUUAUAAGAGUAGAAGUUAGGAAAGAAAUUCUUUCUUCCCAAAGCCAUACUGGGAGGAGACUAGUGUAAUGUUUCAAAGAACAUAUUUAGUGCGUAUUGCAAGCUGUUACAAUUUUGACACAGUGGUAUUUUAAAUAAAAGUAUUUGCAUUAAUGAGAUUGUAUGAGUCAAUGCUAGUUCUAUAGCACAAUUUCACUGUCAAUUCUUCUUUUCAUCCCUUUUGGUAGGGACCAAUUUCUUAAGGAUAAUAAAGGCAACAGCAGAAUGUUAUUUGCUAUGGAUGGAGUGUUACCACGUUGGCUAACAGUCUGCAGCACUUGUUUCAGUUAAUUUAAAGACAUAGAUUGUGAAUGCAGGUGAUGAAGUGUGAAACAUUGCCCGGGAAACCUAUAGUACCAGCUUCAAAAGGAAGAUGAGCUGUGAAUGGUUAGUUUCAAAUAUGUACGCAAACGCGGUAGCGGCACCUGCGCACCGCUUCCACAUGACCGCGGGACUGCGCAACAACACGCGGCACGCGGCACGCCAUGUAGCUAUCUGCUAACCUUUAUCGUCACCAUUCAAAGAGUUCGCGUUCGUUUCCAAUUAAUAUUUCAACAGGAAAAUAUAUUUUGGGGGUGGACCCUCAGGUUCCCACAGCGUUUGGAGCCGACUCGAAAAACACCCGAACAUGAAAAUAAGUUUUGUCGCCCGGCGGUCUCGGUUUGCUGUGUUACCAGCCUGUCUCACAAAUACGUAGACGUUACACGUAGUGUUCGCGUAACAUCACCAUCCUGCGACCUAUAUUGAUUUCACAUGUUUAACAUCUGGGAAGCAGCUUCAAUGUCACCCAGAAAUAUUGGGAGAGGUCUGUACCUAGCCAUGGUUCAAUGUUAACAGUGAAGGUCCUAAAUUUCUGAAAAUUUCUUAAUUGCCGAAAAUAUUGGUAUUUUAAGACAACAGAACUGUCGAAGAUGCUAAAUUGUCAAGUAUUUGGACACUCUAAAUACCUGCACAUUUUACAUAGUUACAAAAAUCAUUGGUGCCAGGCAAUUUCAGUUUCUCAGGAAUAUUGCAAUUUUCGAGAAUUUAAUCAUUGUAAGAGAUCCAGAAAUUUUCGGGUACUGCGACUUGCUAUUACUCUAGUGAAAAGGAAAUUAAUGAAACAUGCACCUUCUGUUGUUUGUCAUUCAUGGUUCCCAACGUGUGUACCUGCUGCGAACCUCUUGAAUUCGAUUGCUUUUGUGCACCUUGAUGUGGCUACCCCUCAAAUUGAAUACCUGCCCACAGAAUAAGCCCUAGCUAAACCCAUGUCAAGUGUGUGGGUUUAUCCUACGUUUUGUCAUGCUCAAUGUAUGAAUAAAAGUUAUAACUUAUGAA
This is a long non-coding RNA of Ceratina calcarata, 2569 nucleotides long. RefSeq lists it as uncharacterized. Lineage: Eukaryota; Metazoa; Arthropoda; Insecta; Hymenoptera; Apidae. The record is from RefSeq and is a predicted model, not a curated record. The transcript is spliced from 2 exons.